UACGUAGGGUGCGAGCGUUAUUCGGAAUUACUGGGCGUAAAGCGUGCGCAGGCGGUUCGUUAAGUCAGAUGUGAAAGCCCCGGGCUCAACCUGGGAACUGCAUUUGAAACUGGCGGGCUUGAGUGUGGCAGAGGGGGGUGGAAUUCCGCGUGUAGCGGUGAAAUGCGUAGAUAUCUGGAGGAAUACCGGUGGCGAAGGCGGCAUCCUGGACCAUUACUGACACUGAACCGCGAAAGCUAGGGGAGCAAACGGG
Molecule: ribosomal RNA, 253 nt
Filed under: uncultured bacterium
Lineage: Bacteria
Description: partial 16S ribosomal RNA
Rfam family: Bacterial small subunit ribosomal RNA
Source: RNAcentral